AUUGAAAGCUGGGGGUGCCGAUGUAGGCUGAGAAUUACCCUUAUUAGUUGAACUGGAUAAUGCCAGCGUAACGAAGCUAUAAAUAGAUAUG
This 91-nucleotide non-coding RNA is filed under the name Candidatus Epulonipiscium sp. Its description in RNAcentral is "Epulopiscium sp. TPP sequence". It matches the Rfam family "TPP riboswitch aptamer (THI element)". From Rfam's summary of the family: Vitamin B(1) in its active form thiamin pyrophosphate (TPP) is an essential coenzyme that is synthesised by coupling of pyrimidine and thiazole moieties in bacteria. Lineage: Bacteria; Bacillati; Bacillota; Clostridia; Lachnospirales; Lachnospiraceae. The record is from RNAcentral.